UGGACGUACCUCUGGUGUACCAGUUGUCCUGCCAAGGGCAUGGCUGGGUAGCUAUGUACGGAAUGGAUAAGCGCUGAAAGCAUCUAAGCGCGAAGCCAACUUCAAGAUAAGAUUUCCCACCGUAAGGGUAAGACCCCAGAAAGACUAUCUGGUUGAUAGGUCGAAGGUGUAAGUGCAGCAAUGUAUUUAGCUUAUCGAUACUAAUAGGUCGAGGACUUGACCAAU
RNAcentral lists this ribosomal RNA (225 nucleotides) under Clostridioides difficile. Its description in RNAcentral is "partial 23S ribosomal RNA". It matches the Rfam family "Bacterial large subunit ribosomal RNA", at positions 2698 to 2925 of the family's 2925-position model. Lineage: Bacteria; Bacillati; Bacillota; Clostridia; Peptostreptococcales; Peptostreptococcaceae. The record is from RNAcentral.